AUAGGCACCAAGGGCAUUGUCUCAGCAGCCUCAGCCACCAGACAGGAUGGCCCAGGGCUGCUUGUUCCUUGACCUGCUAGGACCAACUGUGACUCAUCUAUUUACUGCAGAGCAAAGGAACCCACCAGGGCAGAGCCUCAGCUCUCAGCCUCCCGGAAUGAACCAUGAACCCAAAGCAAAGAGCAGAACUCCUUUGACACCUCCAGCUUCACAGACAAAGAUGAAUCUCCUAAGGCAUUUCUGAAACAUGCAGUUCUGAAGUCUGGCCAGCCACACCAAAGAGCUUUUCGCAAGAAGGCACAGGCCAGGUAGAGGCAGCUGUGCAGUGGGAGGACUGUGAUGUUUUGGACUAGAAAAUAAGACGCAAAUGAGGCCAAAAAAACACAGGCACUGCAUAAAGGUGUCUUCUCCCCACUUUAUAAGCCUUAUGUGUGAUAAUAUUCAAUGCCACAGCAAGGCAAGCAAAUAGGUCCUUGGAGGGAGGGAUAGCUGGAUUUUAAUCCUGGCUCUACACUAAGGUCUUGGACUACUUACUGCAGGUCUCUGAGCUUCAUAGUUUUAUGUAUAAAAUAGGAUGAAGACCAUCCCCAAAUCCACUUCGAUGGUGAGAAUUAGGUGACAUGACAGCAGAAGGGCAUUUAGAGUUUGGCACAGAAGGGAUCUCAACAAAUGGUAGCUGUGUUUCAUCGUUCAUUUGAGAACUGAUGUUUGGAUCCUUUUCUGCAUCUUGAAAUGUCCCAAAAUAUUCCUCCUUAAGCCCUGCAGUUGGAUACUCAUUGAUACUUCUCUGUUCAAUUUAUACUGCGAGCAGGGGAGGGAGGCUUGAGCUUGGUUCCAUGAACGAGGUUGAAGGGUGUAAGUCUCCCAGCUUCAUUUCUGUCUCCUCCUCACCUGGGGAGCCAUGGCCAAUUCUCUUCCCAGGUCACUUGACUUCUCCAUGACCAUGACUUUCACCUUCUGCAUUUUGGAACAAUAUACUCAUGAAUGCUAAGAAGCUUUUGUUUCUUUCUGCCUGUGCUGAGCCUGUCUACUAUAAAAGAAAAAUCACAAUGGUUGUCAUAGUUAUGCUCUUUGCUUCCUGAGUGGAAUAGCACCGGUUUUUAUGUUACAUUAUACUAUAUUCUGGAUCUCUCUUUGAUGGUGGGUUAUGGAGAAGGUUUGCCAAUUCUUUCUUUUACAAUUCUUUUUAAAUAAAUCCUCAGAAUUAAGGCCA
Molecule: long non-coding RNA, 1213 nt
Organism: Homo sapiens (human)
Lineage: Eukaryota; Metazoa; Chordata; Mammalia; Primates; Hominidae
Product: long intergenic non-protein coding RNA 390
Source: Ensembl